RNAcentral lists this ribosomal RNA (450 nucleotides) under uncultured Glomeromycotina. Its description in RNAcentral is "SSU rRNA". It matches the Rfam family "Eukaryotic small subunit ribosomal RNA", at positions 569 to 1016 of the family's 1831-position model. The record is from RNAcentral. Lineage: Eukaryota; Fungi; Glomeromycota.
AGCAGCCGCGGUAAUUCCAGCUCCAAUAGCGUAUAUUAAAGUUGUUGCAGUUAAAAAGCUCGUAGUUGAAUUUCGGGAUUGACGUGAUGGUCAUGCCUUAAGGGGUAUGAACUGUUACAGUUGAUUUCUCACCUUCUGGAGAAACUUGAUGUCCUUUAUUGGGUGUCUUGCGGAUCCAGGACCUUUACCUUGAAAAAAUUAGAGUGUUUAAAGCAGGCAUUUUUGCUCGAAUACAUUAGCAUGGAAUAAUAGAAUAGGACGGCAUGGUUCUAUUUUGUUGGUUUCUAGGAUCACCGUAAUGAUUAAUAGGGAUAGUUGGGGGCAUUAGUAUUCAAUCGUCAGAGGUGAAAUUCUUGGAUUUAUUGAAGACUAACUACUGCGAAAGCAUUUGCCAAGGAUGUUUUCAUUAAUCAAGAACGAAAGUUAGGGGAUCGAAGACGAUCAGAUACC